RNAcentral lists this ribosomal RNA (1403 nucleotides) under uncultured Bordetella sp. RNAcentral describes it as "partial 16S-23S ribosomal RNA intergenic spacer". It matches the Rfam family "Bacterial small subunit ribosomal RNA". Lineage: Bacteria; Pseudomonadati; Pseudomonadota; Betaproteobacteria; Burkholderiales; Alcaligenaceae. The record is from RNAcentral.
AGUCGAACGGCCUAGCACGGACUUCGGUCUGGUGGCGAGUGGCGAACGGGUGGUAGUGUAUCGGAACGUGCUAGUAGCGGGGACUAUACGCGGCGUAUGCUUCUGCAUACGCCCUUCGGGGAAAGCGGGGACCUUCGGGCCUCACUGGUCCGGCAGCCGAUAUCGGAUUAGCUGGUUGUUCAGGUGUUUUGGCUCGCAAGGCGACGAUCCGUAGCUGGUUUGGGGGGACGACCAGCCACACUGGGACUGAGACGGCCUUGAACUCCUACGGGAGGCAGCAGUGGGGAAUUUUUGGACAAUGGGGAAACCUGAUCCAGCCAUCCCGCGUGUGCGAUGAAGGCCUUCGGGUUAUGCAAGCACUUUUAACCACGAGGAAAAAACGGCGCAGGAUAAUACCCCGUGCAACUGAAAGCGUACCUGAAUAAGCACCGGCUAACUACGUGCAGCAAUAACGAUAAUACGUAAGUGCAAGCGUUAAUCGGAAUUACUGGGCGUAAAAGCCAUUCUGCGCGAGCGGUUCGGAAAAGAAAGAUGUGAAAUCCCGACUUAACUUUGGAACACGUUUUUAACUACCGAGCUAGGGGUGUAUUCAGAGGGAGGUGGAAUUCCGCCAUGCUGAAGUGAAAUGCGUAGAUAUGCGGAACACCGAUGGCGAAGCAGCCUCCUGGGAUAACACUGACGCUCUGUGCACGAAAGCGGUAAGAGGGAGCAAACAGGAUUCGAUACCCUGGUGGUCCGCCUCAAACGAUGCGUCAACUAGCUGUUGGGGCCUUCCGGGCCUUGGUAGCCUGCCAACUAACGCGUGAAGUUGACCGCCUGGGAGUAUGGUCGCAGAUUAAACUCAAAGGAAUUGACGGGGACCCCUGACGGUGGAUGAUGUGGAUUAAUUCGAUGCAACGCGGCGACAACACCUUGACAUGUGGAACGUCGAAGAGAUUUGGGAGUGCUCGCAAGAACCGGAACACAGGUGCUGCAUGGCUGUCGUCAGCUCGUGUCGUGAGAUGUUGGGUUAAGUCCCGCAACGAGCGCAACCCUUGUCAUUAGUUGCUACGAAAGGACCUCUCUAAUGAGACUGCCGGUGACAAACCGGAGGAAGGUGGGGAUGACCGUCAAGUCCUCAUGGCCCUUAUGGGUAGGGCUUCCGCGUCAUACGUGGUCGGGACGGUCGCCAGCGGGGGCAAUCAGAAACCCGAUCGUAGUCCGGAUCGCAGUCUGCAACUCGACUGCGUGAAGUCGGAAUCGCUAGUAAUCGCGGAUCAGCAUGUCGCGGUGAAUACGUUCGGGUCUUGUACACGCCGCCCGUCACAUGGGAGUGGGUUUUACCAGAAGUAAGUUAGCCUAACCGUAAGGAGGGCGAUUACCACGGUAGGAUUCAUGACUGGGGUGAAGUCGUAACAAGGUAG